AAGACUAUACUUUCAGGGAUCAUUUCUAUAGUUUUUGACUUGAGAAAUGUGUUUCUAAAGUGUUUGGUCUUGCUGACCAAGCAGUUGAGUUGUGAUAUUCUUUCUGUGCGUGAAGCUGACAGAGAGUACGAAUUUAAUUCAUAUAUGAUCACAGUGGU
RNAcentral lists this small nucleolar RNA (158 nucleotides) under Sander lucioperca (pikeperch). RNAcentral's name for it is "Small nucleolar RNA U3 (ENSSLUG00000004997.1)". It matches the Rfam family "Small nucleolar RNA U3", at positions 1 to 157 of the family's 219-position model. From Rfam's summary of the family: Small nucleolar RNAs (snoRNAs) are involved in the processing and modification of rRNA in the nucleolus. There are two main classes of snoRNAs: the box C/D class, and the box H/ACA class. The record is from Rfam by way of RNAcentral. Lineage: Eukaryota; Metazoa; Chordata; Actinopteri; Perciformes; Percidae.